Long non-coding RNA from Passer montanus (Eurasian tree sparrow), 653 nucleotides. RefSeq lists it as uncharacterized. Lineage: Eukaryota; Metazoa; Chordata; Aves; Passeriformes; Passeridae. The record is from RefSeq and is a predicted model, not a curated record. The transcript has 4 exons.
UUUCAGAUUGGACAUGGGAAGAACCCAAAACCACAGCUACCUGAUGGUGCCAGAAGAGUACAAUCCUCUUUCACCUUUUCUUGUGCUGUUAAUGGAGUGCAAUAAAAAAUCUGGAGGAGAUCAAACUCUGGCUCAUUUGGCACAGAAAGCCAAGCAACCAUGCAGGACUGGAAACUUCUAGCUGGUUUUCAUUUGAUUGGAAAGUACUUCUGCAAGGCUUUAUGGAAAAGUUAGCUGGAUGUUUUGUCCUGCUCCUUCCCAGGCAGAAAAGCAGUCAUGACUGAGCAGAUGGAGUGGAUUUUGAUGGCACCAUACAGAAUCUGAGGAGGUCCAGGACUGUUCCUUCCACGCUGACACAUCCAUGGAGCUGGGAGAUGCAGACCCCUGUGGGGUGUUGUGUGGAGAAAGAGUGGGGCAGGGCUAAGGACAAUCAUGGAUGGAAUGGAAAGAGUGAUCACCUAUGAGAGGAAACAGGUUUGGUCUCUCCUGCUGCAGGUGCAUCAGCUCCUGGGAAAUUCUUGCCAAUCCAUGCAGCUGAUGCAGGAACUCCAAGCUUUCUGUGUGGUGGUGUCCCAAGGAGCAGAAGACAAGCUAAUUUGGGUGAGGCAUAUAUGCUGUGUUUCUGACAUGGCUCAUAGACUAGAAAUUGUUGU